CGUGCAGGCCGGGUGACCGCGGGCCGUCAGUCGUGAGACUGGGGGCCUGAGGAAAGUCCGGACACCGCAGGGCAGGACGCUGGGCUCUCCCAUUCGGGCUGGCCCAGGCGGCGAAAGCCGACGGAAAGUGGAACAGAAAGGAGACCGCCGGCCGAGGACAACCGACGCCGGUAAGGGUGAAACGGUGGGGUAAGAGCCCACCAGCGGCCGUGGCGACACGGCCGGCUGGCCAAACCCCGUCCGGUGCAAGGCGAAGCAGGUCNNNNNNNNNNNNNNGUACGCCGCAGAGAGAGAUGGUCACCUUCGACAGAAUCCGGCUUACAGGCCUGCUAAAGAA
This 337-nucleotide RNase P RNA is filed under the name Actinobacteria bacterium RBG_16_68_12. RNAcentral describes it as "RNase P RNA component class A". It matches the Rfam family "Bacterial RNase P class A". From Rfam's summary of the family: Ribonuclease P (RNase P) is a ubiquitous endoribonuclease, found in archaea, bacteria and eukarya as well as chloroplasts and mitochondria. Its best characterised activity is the generation of mature 5'-ends of tRNAs by cleaving the 5'-leader elements of precursor-tRNAs. The record is from RNAcentral. Lineage: Bacteria; Bacillati; Actinomycetota.